This 1549-nucleotide long non-coding RNA is filed under the name Coffea arabica (coffee). RNAcentral's name for it is "long non-coding RNA (CARA_LNC007216)". Lineage: Eukaryota; Viridiplantae; Streptophyta; Magnoliopsida; Gentianales; Rubiaceae. The record is from RNAcentral.
GAAGAAACAAGAGAGAGGGCUUCGGGCAAGAAAAAGCAAGAAAGAAAGGAAGAAAAAGUGUUUCAGGGAAGAAAAAGAAAGAACGAAAAAGGGAGAGCUUUGGGAAGGGGGGCAAGAAAAAAGACAAGAAAGAAGGAAACAAGAGAGACUGCGAGGAGAGUAAGGGAGAAAGAGAGAGACAGUGGAGAGCAAGAAAAUAAGAGAGAAACUAGGAAAAGGGGAAGAGAAAAAGAAAGGAAGAGCAGAAGGAGAGCUUCGGGCAGGGGAAAGAGAGAACGAAAGAGAGAAAGAAAGAAAGGGAGAGGGGAAGAAAACCUGGGGAGAGCAAGAAAGAGAGAGAGAUGGCGUAGAGAUAGAGGGAAAUGACAGGGAUCAGAAAAGAAAAAAAAACAAGAAAGAAAGGAGGAGAAGGGAGCUUCGGGAGAAGAAAAAACAAGCAAGAAAGAAGAGGAAAAAAAGGAGAAGAGAAGAGGAAGAAAGGAAGGGGGAAAUCUGUGGAAGAUUAGAAAGGAAAACAACAAAACAAACGAAGGGAAAAGAAAGACAAAAGAGAGAAUAGAAGGAAGAGAGCAUUUUGCGGAUUUUUUUUUUAGGGUUCAGGCUGGUUUUUCGUCACUUUGGGAGGCAACUUUCUUCAUUUAAUCGGCUUCUUUUUGGAUGUUUUAAGAGAUCUGGGAUAUUUACGGAAGCAUAGGUUUAAUUUUCGUUCAGAAACAUUUUCGAAAUAAUAUCAGGAAGACAUCCAAAUCGGGGUUCAAAAACAGGAGCUUGUCAUUCCUUACAAAAUUCUGGGGUUGCGGUUCAGACGGAUUCCUCGCCAUUUUCACGUUUUCUUGGGAUUAUUUCACAUUCAAAUCAUUUUUUGGGAUAGAGGUAAUCCAAAUUUGUCCUUGGUUCCUAGUAAACUUUCAUUAAUCCUCAUUUUUGCUUCAAGAUUUGGAGGGUUUGUUUGUGGUUUAUUGUUCCAUAGUUUGGGUACCCAUUUGUUGGACUGCUGUUGAUGAUUUCUUAUGCAUUCGACAUUCUGCCUUGCUCUUAGAUCGUUUAUCAUAAUCGAGUCUACUAGGAUUCUUAGAAGAAAAUUUGUUCAUGAAAAUUUGCUGCAACAAGCUCGAGGUUCUUGGCUUGUUACAGCUUGUUGCAGCAAUGUUGACAGAUCCAUUUUUUUUGUUGCUGAAGCUCUUGGUUUGCUUGAAGUUUGUGGUUUACUUGUUGUUUGAUUGGUAUACCAUGUACACGUUUACCGCAAGUUUCUUUCUUUCUGUCUUUGCUGCGUUUUCAUAUCCAGUUGCAUCAUUGGAUCUGCUGGGAAGAAGCAAUUGUAUUUUGGAUGAUGUUAACAACGUUGCUUUGAAGUUAUAGCAUUUGGGUUUGGUUGAUGAAUCAGUAGGCUUCAUUUGAGUUAUUUCGCAUGGGCAUAUUCCAGUUGAAUAAGAAAAAUUGCAGAAGAAACUAGCGAAGAAGAAAGCUUCUUCGAACCAGAUGCACGGAAAUUUCUAAAAAUUGCAUUUUGCCAUCUGUUCUUUCAAAUAAUUCUGAUAUGGCCCAG